GAAAAUAAUAUCUGGAUCAAUUUCAAAAUCCAGAAAAGAUGAUAUCUUUAUAACCAAAAAAACAAGAAUAGAGAAACAUCAAGAAGAAAUCACAUGCAUCAUCUAUGUUCUUCUAAGUAAUUUUCUCCACUAUAUUCCCUAUCCAUCAACAAAUUAAACUAUUAAUAUACUAUUCCUGAAUAAUCAGACAAACAGAAAGGCACUCAAAAUAUGGCAUAAUUAGAGAAAGUAAACAAUUUCAAUAAAAAAUAUGGACAACUGAAAUUCCUAAACAGUUUCCUAUCUUUUAUAAGAAAAAGUGAAUAAAUCAACAUUCUUUUAACUUAAUCACCAGACAGGCAGUCGACAAUUAAAG
RNAcentral lists this unclassified non-coding RNA (355 nucleotides) under Hevea brasiliensis (rubber tree). The record is from RNAcentral. Lineage: Eukaryota; Viridiplantae; Streptophyta; Magnoliopsida; Malpighiales; Euphorbiaceae.